CGGAUGAACGCUAGCGACAGGCUUAACACAUGCAAGUCGAGGGGUAACAGGGUAGCAAUACCGCUGACGACCGGCGCACGGGUGAGUAACGCGUAUGCAACCUGCCUAUAACUGGGGAAUAGCUCCCUGAAAGGGGAAUUAACACCGCAUAACACUAUUGAUUCGCAUGGAUUGGUAGUUAAAUGUAGCGAUACAGGUUAUAGAUGGGCAUGCGUGACAUUAGCUAGUUGGUGAGGUAACGGCUCACCAAGGCUACGAUGUCUAGGGGUUCUGAGAGGAAGGUCCCCCACACUGGUACUGAGACACGGACCAGACUCCUACGGGAGGCAGCAGUGAGGAAUAUUGGUCAAUGGGCGCAAGCCUGAACCAGCCAUGUCGCGUGAGUGAUGAAGGCCCUAGGGUUGUAAAGCUCUUUCGACGGGGAUGAUAAUGACCGUACCCGUAGAAGAAGCCACGGCUAAAUUCGUG
This 468-nucleotide ribosomal RNA is filed under the name uncultured bacterium. RNAcentral describes it as "bacterial SSU rRNA". It matches the Rfam family "Bacterial small subunit ribosomal RNA", at positions 27 to 507 of the family's 1533-position model. The record is from RNAcentral.